This 948-nucleotide ribosomal RNA is filed under the name uncultured bacterium. RNAcentral's name for it is "bacterial SSU rRNA". It matches the Rfam family "Bacterial small subunit ribosomal RNA", at positions 401 to 1356 of the family's 1533-position model. The record is from RNAcentral.
GCGGGAUGACGGCCUUCGGGUUGUAAACCGCUUUCAGCAGGGAAGAAGCCUUUCGGGGUGACGGUACCUGCAGAAGAAGUACCGGCUAACUACGUGCCAGCAGCCGCGGUAAUACGUAGGGUACAAGCGUUGUCCGGAAUUAUUGGGCGUAAAGAGCUCGUAGGUGGUUGGUCACGUCUGCUGUGGAAACGCAACGCUUAACGUUGCGCGUGCAGUGGGUACGGGCUGACUAGAGUGCAGUAGGGGAGUCUGGAAUUCCUGGUGUAGCGGUGAAAUGCGCAGAUAUCAGGAGGAACACCGGUGGCGAAGGCGGGACUCUGGGCUGUAACUGACACUGAGGAGCGAAAGCAUGGGGAGCGAACAGGAUUAGAUACCCUGGUAGUCCAUGCCGUAAACGUUGGGCACUAGGUGUGGGGGACAUUCCACGUUCUCCGCGCCGUAGCUAACGCAUUAAGUGCCCCGCCUGGGGAGUACGGUCGCAAGGCUAAAACUCAAAGGAAUUGACGGGGGCCCGCACAAGCGGCGGAGCAUGCGGAUUAAUUCGAUGCAACGCGAAGAACCUUACCAAGGCUUGACAUACACCAGACCGUUCUGGAAACAGUUCCUCCCCUUUGGGGUUGGUGUACAGGUGGUGCAUGGUUGUCGUCAGCUCGUGUCGUGAGAUGUUGGGUUAAGUCCCGCAACGAGCGCAACCCUCGUUCUAUGUUGCCAGCACGUGAUGGUGGGAACUCAUAGGAGACUGCCGGGGUCAACUCGGAGGAAGGUGGGGAUGACGUCAAAUCAUCAUGCCCUUUAUGUCUUGGGCUUCACGCAUGCUACAAUGGCUGGUACAGAGAGAUGCGAGACCGCGAGGUUUUAGCGAAUCCCUUAAAGCCAGUCUCAGUUCGGAUCGUAGUCUGCAAUUCGACUACGUGAAGUCGGAGUCGCUAGUAAUCGCAGAUCAGCACG